CCUACGGGGGGCAGCAGUGAGGAAUAUUGGUCAAUGGCCGGAAGGCUGAACCAGCCAAGCCGCGUGAGGGACGAAGGCCCUACGCAUUGUAAACCUCUUUUGUCAGGGAGCAAGGUCCAGGUCGGGACCUGCUGUGAGAGUACCUGAAGAAAAAGCAUCGGCUAACUCCGUGCCAGCAGCCGCGGUAAUACGGAGGAUGCGAGCGUUAUCCGGAUUUAUUGGGUUUAAAGGGUGCGCAGGCGGAGUGACAAGUCAGCGGUAAAAGCCCGGGGCUCAACCCCGGCCCGCCGUUGAAACUGUGUACCUUGAGUGCGCGAAGGGUUGGCGGAAUGCGGGGUGUAGCGGUGAAAUGCAUAGAUAUCACGCAGAACUCCGAUCGCGAAGGCAGCCUACCGGCGCGCAACUGACGCUCAGGCACGAAAGCGUGGGUAUCGAACAGGAUUAGAUACCCCAGUAGUC
This 459-nucleotide ribosomal RNA is filed under the name uncultured bacterium. RNAcentral's name for it is "partial 16S ribosomal RNA". It matches the Rfam family "Bacterial small subunit ribosomal RNA", at positions 338 to 795 of the family's 1533-position model. The record is from RNAcentral.